This 497-nucleotide ribosomal RNA is filed under the name uncultured bacterium. Its description in RNAcentral is "partial 16S ribosomal RNA". It matches the Rfam family "Bacterial small subunit ribosomal RNA", at positions 28 to 507 of the family's 1533-position model. The record is from RNAcentral.
GAUGAACGCUGGCGGCGUGCCUAAUACAUGCAAGUCGAGCGAACGGCCGGGAAGCUUGCUUCUCUGAUGUUAGUGGCGGACGGGUGAGUAACACGUGGAUAACCUACCUCUAACUCUGGGAUAACCUCGGGAAACCGCAGCUAAUACCGGAUACUAUUUUGAACCGCAUGGUUCACAAGUGAAAGAAGGUUUUGCUGUCACUUAUCUCUCGAUCCGCGCUGCAUUAGCUAGUUGGUAAGGUAACGGCUUACACAGGCAACGAUGCAUCGCCGACCUGAGAGGGGGGUCGGCGACACGGGAACUGAGACACGGUCCAGACGCCUACGAGAGGCAGCAGUAGGGAAUCUGCCGCAAUGGGCGAGAGCCUGACGGAGCGACGCCACGUGAGUGAUGAAAGUCUUGUGUUCGUAAAGCUCUCUUAUUAGUUGAGAACAUAUGUGUGAGGAGCUGAACACAACGUGACGGUACCUAAACAGAAAGCCACGGCUAACUACGUG